Long non-coding RNA from Brienomyrus brachyistius, 1131 nucleotides. RefSeq lists it as uncharacterized. NCBI's taxonomy places the organism in Eukaryota, Metazoa, Chordata, Actinopteri, Osteoglossiformes, Mormyridae. The record is from RefSeq and is a predicted model, not a curated record. The transcript has 2 exons.
ACUUACCUUGCUGCUCGGCCUCCGGCAGGCGAGCAGGAGACGCCGGGGAUCCGGGACGCACCGGACCCGCCUGCCCGCCAAAACCUCGGCGACCGAGGAGGGCGGCGCUGCAGCGGACUCAAGCCGCUUCCCACUCGGCAGUGACGAGAAGCCGCACCGCCGGAAGUCUCCAGCAGCCCCAUGCGCUGGCUGCCCGCGGAGAAGGGAGCCUGGCUGUGGGAGGCGCUGGGCAUGGUCACCGCUGGAAGAUGAGCCGGGUGCCGUUAAGGCGCGGAAGAAGGGUCGGAGCCGGCCGGGAACCGACAUUCCAGCACCGGCCAGCAGCUAGGCAGGGCACCGAGGGGACGCGACUGGCAUCGUCACUGAGGAAAUGCAGCAGAGUAUUACAUAAUUUUCUCUCUGCUGGAAUGUAAUUGUCACGAUCGGGGUGUAGCAGACGGGCGAUCGUGCGGGUAAGGAGCAGACAGGCAAGCGGGAUACGGGGAAAACGGGGUUUUAUUAGGGGAAACCGGAGCAGGACGGGAAACAGACAUUGACAACAUCAAUGACGGACGAAGGACUCGGGUAAGACACGGACUGAAAUACACAGGACUGAUUGAAAAUAAUCAGACACAGCUGGGUACAAUCCGGGAAACACACGUGGUUAGGCAGGGGGCGUGGCACACAGGAGGAGCCGACGAGCAGGGCAUGACAGUAAUGAAGAUGAGACCUUCAUUGAAAUGGUAAACUUUUCACAUUAAACUUGAUUACUUUUGGGAGUUAAGUAACAUUCGAAUUUAAUAGCUGAAAUGAUACAUGUGAAAGUAUUGGAUUUGCUUUUGGUUUUCUUUUAACUGUGACUAAUUAAAUCUUUCCAGGUGCAGUGUGACCUGGGCCAGAGAUGGGCGCAUUUUCAACGUGCUAAAUUUGAGCCACAACAUGAGGGAAACUAUUUCUGCAACAAAAUGCAUACUGAAAUAGUUUUUAAGGAAAAGCACCGAAGAUUUUUGACAUGCACUUUACUCUUACAUUUUUUUUCUACCCAAAUUCUGAAUACUUAAAUCAGAAUAAAAAACAAUGUAUUUUGUUUAUUAUAUGUUAACUAGUAACUUUGUUUAAUUAUUAAAAUCGAAGUUGAGCGGUUUUAAUGAC